RNAcentral lists this ribosomal RNA (400 nucleotides) under uncultured bacterium. RNAcentral describes it as "bacterial SSU rRNA". It matches the Rfam family "Bacterial small subunit ribosomal RNA", at positions 355 to 774 of the family's 1533-position model. The record is from RNAcentral.
UUAGGAAUCUUCGGCAAUGGGCGAAAGCCUGACCGAGCGACGCCGCGUGAAGGAUGAAGGCCCUCGGGUCGUAAACUUCUAAAAGAGGGACGAUAGUGACGGUACCUCUUGAAAAGCACCGGCUAACUCCGUGCCAGCAGCCGCGGUAAUACGGAGGGUGCAAGCGUUAUCCGGAAUCACUGGGCGUAAAGGGCGCGUAGGCGGUCUGUUAAGUCCGAUGUUAAAGACUGGGGCUCAACCCCAGCAUUGCGUUGGAUACUGGCAGGCUUGACGGUUGGAGAGGCGAGUGGAAUUACCAGUGUAGCGGUGAAAUGCGUAGAUACUGGUAGGAACACCCAUUGCGAAGGCAGCUCGCUGGACAACACGUGACGCUGAGGCGCGAAAGUGUGGGGAGCAAACC